Molecule: ribosomal RNA, 490 nt
Filed under: uncultured bacterium
Lineage: Bacteria
Description: partial 16S ribosomal RNA
Rfam family: Bacterial small subunit ribosomal RNA
Source: RNAcentral
GUGAACGCUGGCGGUAGGCCUAACACAUGCAAGUCGAACGGCAGCACAGUAAGAGCUUGCUCUUACGGGUGGCGAGUGGCGGACGGGUGAGGAAUACAUCGGAAUCUACUUUUUCGUGGGGGAUAACGUAGGGAAACUUACGCUAAUACCGCAUACGACCUACGGGUGAAAGCAGGGGAUCUUCGGACCUUGCGCGAUUGAAUGAGCCGAUGUCGGAUUAGCUAGUUGGCGGGGUAAAGGCCCACCAAGGCGACGAUCCGUAGCUGGUCUGAGAGGAUGAUCCGCCCCACUGGAAAUGAGACAGGGUCCAGCCCACUAGGGGAGGCAGAAGGGGGGAAUUUUGGACAAGGGGGGCAAGCCUGACCCAGCCAUACCGGGGGGGGAAAGAAGGCCUUUGGGUUGAAAAGCCCUUUUGUGGGGAAAAAAAAGCAGCAGGUUAAUACCCCGCUGUUCUGACGGUACCAAAAGAAUAAGCACCGGCUAACUUCGU